GACGAACGCUGGCGGCGUGCCUAACACAUGCAAGUCGAGCGAAGUGUUUAGGACUGAUCCCUUCGGGGUGACGUCUUAAACAUCUUAGCGGCGGACGGGUGAGUAACGCGUGAGAAACCUGCCUUUCACAAAGGGAUAGCCUCGGGAAACUGGGAUUAAUACCUUAUGAUACUUAUGAUCCACAUGGAUUUUAAGUUAAAGCGUAAAGCGGUGAAAGAUGGUCUCGCGUCCCAUUAGUUAGUUGGUGAGGUAACGGCUCACCAAGACAACGAUGGGUAGCCGGCCUGAGAGGGUGAUCGGCCACACUGGAACUGAGACACGGUCCAGACUCCUACGGGAGGCAGCAGUGGGGAAUAUUGCACAAUGGAGGAAACUCUGAUGCAGCGACGUCGCGUGAACGAUGAAGGCUUUCGAGUCGUAAAGUUCUGUCCUAGGGGACGAUAAUGACGGUACCCUAGGAGGAAG
RNAcentral lists this ribosomal RNA (465 nucleotides) under uncultured bacterium. RNAcentral's name for it is "SSU rRNA". It matches the Rfam family "Bacterial small subunit ribosomal RNA", at positions 28 to 490 of the family's 1533-position model. The record is from RNAcentral.